GCGAACGCUGGCGGCAGGCUUAACACAUGCAAGUCGAGCGGGCCCUUCGGGGUCAGCGGCAGACGGGUGAGUAACACGUGGGAACGUACCCUUUGGUUCGGAAUAACGCUGGGAAACUAGCGCUAAUACCGGAUACGCCCUUUUGGGGAAAGGCUUGCUGCCGAAGGAUCGGCCCGCGUCUGAUUAGCUAGUUGGUGGGGUAAUGGCCUACCAAGGCGACGAUCAGUAGCUGGUCUGAGAGGAUGAUCAGCCACACUGGGACUGAGACACGGCCCAGACUCCUACGGGAGGCAGCAGUGGGGAAUAGUGGACAAUGGGCGCAAGCCUGAUCCAGCCAUGCCGCGUGAGUGAUGAAGGCCUUAGGGUUGUAAAGCUCUUUUGUCCGGGACGAUAAUGACGGUACCGGAAGAAUAAGCCCCGGCUAACUUCGUG
Molecule: ribosomal RNA, 432 nt
Filed under: uncultured bacterium
Lineage: Bacteria
Description: partial 16S ribosomal RNA
Rfam family: Bacterial small subunit ribosomal RNA
Source: RNAcentral